GAUGAACGCUAGCUACAGGCUUAACACAUGCAAGUCGAGGGGAAACGAUAGAGAAAGCUUGCUUUUUCUAGGCGUCGACCGGCGCACGGGUGAGUAACGCGUAUCCAACCUGCCCAUCACUUGGGGAUAACCUUGCGAAAGUAAGACUAAUACCCAAUGACGUCUCUAGAAGACAUCUGAAAGAGAUUAAAGAUUUAUCGGUGAUGGAUGGGGAUGCGUCUGAUUAGCUUGUUGGCGGGGUAACGGCCCACCAAGGCGACGAUCAGUAGGGGUUCUGAGAGGAAGGUCCCCCCACAUUGGAACUGAGACACGGUCCAAAACUCCUACGGGAGGCAGCAGUGAGGAAUAUUGGUCAAUGGGCGAGAGCCUGAACCAGCCAAGUAGCGUGAAGGAUGACUGCCCUAUGGGUUGUAAACUUCUUUUAUAAAGGAUAAAGUCGGGUAUGGAUACCCGUUUGCAUGUACUUUAUGAAUAAGGAUCGGCUAACUCCGUG
Molecule: ribosomal RNA, 493 nt
Filed under: uncultured bacterium
Lineage: Bacteria
Description: bacterial SSU rRNA
Rfam family: Bacterial small subunit ribosomal RNA
Source: RNAcentral